GAAAUGCGAUAAGUAAUGUGAAUUGCAGAAUUCAGUGAAUCAUCGAAUCUUUGAACGCACAUUGCGCCCGCCAGUAUUCUGGCGGGCAUGCCUGUCCGAGCGUCAUUUCAACCAUCAAGCCCCCGGGCUUGUGUUGGGGACCUGCGGCUGCCCGCAGGCCCUGAAAACCAGUGGCGGGCUCGCUGUCACACCGAGCGUAGUAGCAAUCACCUCUCUCAGGGCGUGCUGCGGGUUCCGGCCGUUAAACAGCCUUACAAAACCCAAGGUUGACCUCGGAUCAGGUAGGAAGACCCGCUGAACUUAAGC
RNAcentral lists this unclassified non-coding RNA (306 nucleotides) under plant metagenome. RNAcentral's name for it is "partial contains 5.8S ribosomal RNA, internal transcribed spacer 2, and large subunit ribosomal RNA". The stretch from base 1 to 105 matches the Rfam family "5.8S ribosomal RNA", at positions 50 to 154 of the family's 154-position model. The record is from RNAcentral.